RNAcentral lists this ribosomal RNA (466 nucleotides) under uncultured bacterium. RNAcentral describes it as "partial 16S ribosomal RNA". It matches the Rfam family "Bacterial small subunit ribosomal RNA", at positions 28 to 507 of the family's 1533-position model. The record is from RNAcentral.
GACGAACGCUGGCGGCGUGCCUAACACAUGCAAGUCGAACGGGAAGGCCCGGUCUGGUGGGGACCCGGUGGGCAAACCGGGGGAACAUACGUUGGGGAUCUGCCCUACACCCCGGGAUAAGCUUUGAUAACUGGGACUGAUUCCGGAUAAAAACCAUCUCUAGUUUGGUUGUUGGCGAGUUUUUUCGGUGUAGUAUUAGGUUGCGGGCCUUCAGAUUGUUGGUGGGGUAAUGGGCUACCAAGGCGGCGAAGGGUAGCCGGCCUGGGAGGGUGUACGGCCACAUUGGGACUGAGAUACGGCCCAGACUCCUACGGGAGGCAGCAGGGGGGAAUAUUGCACAAUGGGCGCAAGGCUGAUGCAGCGACGCCGCGUGGGGGAUGAAGGCCUUCGGGUUGUAAACUCCUUUCGCUAGGGACGAAGCUUUGUUGUGACGGUACCUAGAUAAGAAGCACCGGCUAACUACGUG